AUACGGAGGGUGCAAGCGUUACUCGGAAUCACUGGGCGUAAAGCGCGCGCAGGCGGCUUGAUAAGUUGGAUGUGAAAGCCUACGGCUCAACCGUAGAACUGCAUCCAAAACUAUUUAGCUAGAGUGUGGGAGAGGAAGAUGGAAUUAGUUGUGUUGGGGUAAAAUCCGUAGAGAUAACUAGGAAUACCAAAAGCGAAGGCAAUCUUCUGGAACACUACUGACGCUGAGGCGCGAAAGCGUGGGGAGCAAACAGGAUUAGAAACCCGUGUAGUCC
This 274-nucleotide ribosomal RNA is filed under the name uncultured bacterium. Its description in RNAcentral is "partial 16S ribosomal RNA". It matches the Rfam family "Bacterial small subunit ribosomal RNA", at positions 523 to 796 of the family's 1533-position model. The record is from RNAcentral.